Molecule: ribosomal RNA, 235 nt
Filed under: uncultured Candidatus Saccharibacteria bacterium
Lineage: Bacteria; Candidatus Saccharimonadota
Description: partial 16S ribosomal RNA
Rfam family: Bacterial small subunit ribosomal RNA
Source: RNAcentral
UAAGUUAGUAGUGAAAUCGUGCGGCUCAACCGCAUACCCAUUACUAAAACUGCUAAGCUUGAGUAUGAGAGAGGUACCUGGAAUUCCUAGUGUAGGAGUGAAAUCCGUAGAUAUUAGGAGGAACACCGAUGGCGUAGGCAGGGUACUGGCUCAUUACUGACACUAAGGCACGAAAGCGUGGGGAGCGAACGGGAUUAGAUACCCCGGUAGUCCACGCCGUAAACGAUGGAUGCUA